GAUGAACGCUGGCGGCGUGCCUAAUACAUGCAAGUCGAGCGAACGGACGAGAAGCUUGCUUCUCUGAUGUUAGCGGCGGACGGGUGAGUAACACGUGGAUAACCUACCUAUAAGACUGGGAUAACUUCGGGAAACCGGAGCUAAUACCGGAUAAUAUUUUGAACCGCAUGGUUCAAAAGUGAAAGACGGUCUUGCUGUCACUUAUAGAUGGAUCCGCGCUGCAUUAGCUAGUUGGUAAGGUAACGGCUUACCAAGGCAACGAUGCAUAGCCGACCUGAGAGGGUGAUCGGCCACACUGGAACUGAGACACGGUCCAGACUCCUACGGGAGGCAGCAGUAGGGAAUCUUCCGCAAUGGGCGAAAGCCUGACGGAGCAACGCCGCGUGAGUGAUGAAGGUCUUCGGAUCGUAAAACUCUGUUAUUAGGGAAGAACAUAUGUGUAAGUAACUGUGCACAUCUUGCCGGUACCUAAUCAGAAAGCCACGGCUAACUACGUG
This 497-nucleotide ribosomal RNA is filed under the name uncultured bacterium. Its description in RNAcentral is "partial 16S ribosomal RNA". It matches the Rfam family "Bacterial small subunit ribosomal RNA", at positions 28 to 507 of the family's 1533-position model. The record is from RNAcentral.